UCCUUCGGUUUCACGCUUGAAUCGGAAUUACUGGGCGUAAAGCGUGCGCAGGCGGUUAUAUAAGACAGAUGUGAAAUCCCCGGGCUCAACCUGGGAACUGCAUUUGUGACUGUAUAGCUAGAGUACGGCAGAGGGGGAUGGAAUUCCGCGUGUAGCAGUGAAAUGCGUAGAUAUGCGGAGGAACACCGAUGGCGAAGGCAAUCCCCUGGGCCUGUACUGACGCUCAUGCACGAAAGCGUGGGGAGCAAACAGGAUUAGAUACCCCGGUAGUCC
RNAcentral lists this ribosomal RNA (273 nucleotides) under uncultured bacterium. RNAcentral's name for it is "partial 16S ribosomal RNA". It matches the Rfam family "Bacterial small subunit ribosomal RNA", at positions 524 to 796 of the family's 1533-position model. The record is from RNAcentral.